GACAGGUAUGCUACAGGACAUGUGGCUGAUGCCCUAGCCCAGAGUAACACUGUAUACUGUAGUAUGAACAGGUAUGCUACAGGACAUGUGGCUGAUGCCCUAGCCCAGAGUAACACUGUAUACUGUAGUAUGAACAGGUAUGCUACAGGACAUGUGGCUGAUGCCCUAGCCAAGAGUAACACUGUAUACUGUAGUAUGAACAGGUAUGCUACAGGACAUGUGGCUGAUGCCCUAGCCCAGAGUAACACUGUAUACUGUAGUAUGAACAGGUAUGCUACAGGACAUGUGGCUGAUGCCCUAGCCCAGAGUAACACUGUAUACUGUAGUAUGAACAGGUAUGCUACAGAACAUGUGGCUGAUGCCCUAGCCCAGAGUAACACUGUAU
RNAcentral lists this long non-coding RNA (385 nucleotides) under Salmo salar (Atlantic salmon). RNAcentral describes it as "lncRNA (ENSSSAG00000101224.1)". Lineage: Eukaryota; Metazoa; Chordata; Actinopteri; Salmoniformes; Salmonidae. The record is from RNAcentral.